UCCAAAAAUAAAUAAACACUACACGAAAACAACAACAAAGACAAGGAGAAGAGAAGGGAGAAAAGCUUGACACAUACAAAAAUACAUACAUGCGACUGCUAUCGAGCAGCCAGUCAGAAAAGAGAAGAUGGGACAGCAGUACCUGCUCACUUCACCAAAGAAGGAGCGCUUCUGCCAAGGAGGAGGCAAAUA
RNAcentral lists this non-coding RNA (192 nucleotides) under Palpitomonas bilix. The record is from RNAcentral.